GGGGAUGUGGCUCAAGCGGCAGGGCGUACACAUGGCAUGCGUGAGGCCUGGGUUCGAUCCUCAGCACCACA
Molecule: transfer RNA, 71 nt
Filed under: Marmota monax (woodchuck)
Lineage: Eukaryota; Metazoa; Chordata; Mammalia; Rodentia; Sciuridae
Description: tRNA.Ala
Source: RNAcentral